This 253-nucleotide ribosomal RNA is filed under the name uncultured bacterium. RNAcentral describes it as "partial 16S ribosomal RNA". It matches the Rfam family "Bacterial small subunit ribosomal RNA", at positions 524 to 776 of the family's 1533-position model. The record is from RNAcentral.
UACGUAGGGGGCAAGCGUUGUCCGGAUUUAUUGGGCGUAAAGAGCGUGUAGGCGGCCUGGUAGGUCAGCUGUGAAAACUCGAGGCUCAACCUCGAGACACCGGUUGAAACCAUCAGGCUAGAGUCCGGAAGAGGAGAGUGGAAUUCCCGGUGUAGCGGUGAAAUGCGCAGAUAUCGGGAAGAACACCCGUGGCUAAGGCGGCUCUCUAGUACGGUACUGACGCUGAGACGCGAAAGCGUGGGGAGCGAACAGG